RNAcentral lists this long non-coding RNA (624 nucleotides) under Malus domestica (apple). Its description in RNAcentral is "long non-coding RNA (MDOM_LNC005255)". Lineage: Eukaryota; Viridiplantae; Streptophyta; Magnoliopsida; Rosales; Rosaceae. The record is from RNAcentral.
AGGUUUUGUUUUUUUUCUAUAAUUUUAAAUAUUAAAUUCAUUCAAAAUAAAAAUAUGGUUAAAUACUUUAACUUCUUUUGGUUCAAUUGUAAUUUAUGAAAUUCUUAAAUGGCAAUUUAAGGUAUUUUGAAUGUGUCACUAUUUUAGAGUGCUCACUUUAUAUAUAUAGAUAUGAGUUGUGUUAGUAACAGUUAUUUAGUGCGUUGAUUGUCUGUGACCGCCGAAUUGCUGAUACAUUGUAUAAUCCACUUGCAUGUUGAAUGAAUGGUUGAUAUCCCGGCUGUCUCUCUCUCGUUUCGUAUAUGUUUAUCUUGAAGUCAACUAGUGAUUGUCUAAAUAUUGACGACAACAGUAAUUCUCAUAAUUCUUAGAAGCACUUCAUUGUAAAUAUUAUUUUCGAAACCAAACAACAAGAAUAUAAGUGCAUGCAAGAAUUGCCAGUGCCAUAGUUGCAUUUCAAUAUUUUUUUUUUUGGAGACUUUGGAUGCGGUCCCUAGUUAUGAACAAUCUUUGACUGAAACUUUGUUGGUUUUCAAUUUUUGAUCCAAGUCCUUAAAAUUAAUUGAUAAUUUAUUUCUAUGUACGUUACUAUAUUUUUUAAAUUAAAAAUUAAAAUUUAUAGUU